This 965-nucleotide ribosomal RNA is filed under the name uncultured bacterium. Its description in RNAcentral is "bacterial SSU rRNA". It matches the Rfam family "Bacterial small subunit ribosomal RNA", at positions 1 to 990 of the family's 1533-position model. The record is from RNAcentral.
CCCCUUAGAGUUUGAUCCUGGCUCAGGACGAACGCUAGCGGCGGGCUUAAUACAUGCAAGUUAGGGGGGCAGCAAUGCUCACCGGCGUACGGGUGCGUAACACGUAUAUAACAUACCCUUUAGGGGAGGAUACAUCGAAGAAAUUCGGGAUAAAACUCCGUAAGCUAACGUUAGGGCAUCCUAGUGUUAGGAAAAUUUCUAAAGGAUUGGUAUGCGUCUGAUUAGCUAGUUGGCGAGGUAACGGCUCACCAAGGCGACGAUCAGUAGCUGGUCUUAAAGGAUGAUCAGCCACACUGGCACUGAGACACGGACCACACUCCUACGGGAGGCAGCAGUGAGGAAUAUUGCGCAAUGGAGGCAACUCUGACGCACCCAUGCCGCGUGCAAGAAGAAGGCGCUACGCGUUGUAAACUGCUUUUAACCGGGAAGAAACCCCUCUACGUGUGGAGGGUUGACGGUACCGGAGGAAUAAGCACCGGCUAACUUCGUGCCAGCAGCCGCGGUAAUACGAAGGGUGCAAGCGUUAUCCGGAUUCAUUGGGUUUAAAGGGUGCGUAGGCGGGGCGUUAAGUCAGUGGUGAAAUCCUGCAGCUCAACUGUAGACUUGCCAUUGAUACUGGCGCUCUUGAGUGCGCUUGAAGUAAGCGGAGUGUGCCGUGUAGCGGUGAAAUGCUUAGAUAUGGCACAGACACCUAUUUGCGAAGGCAGCUUACUAAGGCGAUACUGACGCUGACGCACGAAAGGCGGUGGAGGAUCGAACAGGAUUAGAUACCCCUGUAGUCCACGCCGUAAACGAUGAUCACUCGUCAUUGACGAUAAUACGGUCAGUGAACUAGCGAAAGCGUAGUGAUCCCCUGGAGUAGUACGAUCGCAGAUUGCAAACUCGAAUGUAUCGACGGCGCCGCACAGCGUUGGAUCAUGUGAUUCAUCGAUGAUCCGAGCAUCUUUACGAGGCCCUCGUAUCGC